Lupinus albus (white lupine) is the source of this 228-nucleotide non-coding RNA. The record is from the annotation of a GenBank genome assembly. Lineage: Eukaryota; Viridiplantae; Streptophyta; Magnoliopsida; Fabales; Fabaceae.
GGAAGGAGAUCUGUAGCAAACUCAGGGGGUUUCCACACAACAAAUGUGGUUUCAUCAUUACCCCAAGAUACAAUAUGGUCAGUUGUGAAAGCCAUCACUGAAUCAACUAAAGAGUGUUUACUAAAAUUUUAUGCUUUCUUGUUACUCUCCACUUCAUCCACUAAUGCACUAGCAAGUUUUAUAGAACCCUUCUAUGUAUAUGUCUCUCACUAUCUCAUAAUAUAAUUU